UGGGGAAUAUUGCACAAUGGGCGCAAGCCUGAUGCAGCCAUGCCGCGUGUGUGAAGAAGGCCUUCGGGUUGUAAAGCACUUUCAGCGGGGAGGAAGGCGAUAAGGUUAAUAACCUCAUCGAUUGACGUUACCCGCAGAAGAAGCACCGGCUAACUCCGUGCCAGCAGCCGCGGUAAUACGGAGGGUGCAAGCGUUAAUCGGAAUUACUGGGCGUAAAGCGCACGCAGGCGGUCUGUCAAGUCGGAUGUGAAAUCCCCGGGCUCAACCUGGGAACUGCAUUCGAAACUGGCAGGCUAGAGUCUUGUAGAGGGGGGUAGAAUUCCAGGUGUAGCGGUGAAAUGCGUAGAGAUCUGGAGGAAUACCGGUGGCGAAGGCGGCCCCCUGGACAAAGACUGACGCUCAGGUGCGAAAGCGUGGAGAGCAAACAGG
This 429-nucleotide ribosomal RNA is filed under the name Chloroflexota bacterium. RNAcentral's name for it is "Chloroflexi bacterium partial 16S ribosomal RNA". It matches the Rfam family "Bacterial small subunit ribosomal RNA", at positions 355 to 776 of the family's 1533-position model. Lineage: Bacteria; Bacillati; Chloroflexota. The record is from RNAcentral.